UCUCUCUCCAAGUCACCAUUCUUCAUUUUCUGUCUAUCUAGGGAGAUAGUUGGGAGAUGCAGAAAGAGAAGAUUAUUGGUGUCAGAACUGCUUCUGUGAAUGAAUGAACUCUCUAGCUGUCUUGAGAAACCACUUGGAGCCACUGUCUGUGAUACAGAGCUAGAGAACAGGCCUUCAUUCCAGUUUGAAUGGAUAAGUAGAAAAAUUCUCAACACUGAGUUUCUGGACAACCUUCAGCCAUGAAGAUCCUUUAUCUGCUCUUUGCAGUCUUCUUUCUGGUGCUCCAGGGUGCGCCAGAAUUCUCACAGGCUAAGAAUCGUGACUUGAGAUGCACACUCCAGGGGGGCAAAUGUUUCUAUAUCAGAUGUCCCUACGAUGAUUCAACAAUGAUUGGAAGAUGCAGUAAUUGGGGUGUUUGCUGUCUCUGGAGAUCCUGAAGUGCUGUUGUUUAAGUCACAAAGAACCUUGUGAGCUGGAGAAGUUCCAGAAGGGAGUCCUUGUAUCCCCCACAUAAGAGUGGUUACCUCCAUUUAAUAAAAACAAGUUGGU
Long non-coding RNA from Pelodiscus sinensis (Chinese soft-shelled turtle), 549 nucleotides. RefSeq lists it as uncharacterized. The record is from RefSeq and is a predicted model, not a curated record. Lineage: Eukaryota; Metazoa; Chordata; Testudines; Trionychidae.